Acanthosepion pharaonis is the source of this 111-nucleotide non-coding RNA. NCBI's taxonomy places the organism in Eukaryota, Metazoa, Mollusca, Cephalopoda, Sepiida, Sepiidae. The record is from the annotation of a GenBank genome assembly.
UUACGACCAUAUCAAAUUGAAACAUCAGUUCUCGUACGAUCACCGCUUAAGCAACGUCGAGCUUGGUCAGUACCUAGAUGGGUGACCACUUGGGAAUACCAGGUGCUGUAU